This 354-nucleotide ribosomal RNA is filed under the name uncultured bacterium. RNAcentral's name for it is "bacterial SSU rRNA". It matches the Rfam family "Bacterial small subunit ribosomal RNA", at positions 1 to 334 of the family's 1533-position model. The record is from RNAcentral.
GUGAGUAGUUCAGAGUUUGAUCCUGGCUCAGGAUGAACGCUGGCGGCGUGCCUAACACAUGCAAGUCGAACGGAGCUUCUUGGAUCGAGACUUCGGUCAAGUGAAUUGAAGCUUAGUGGCGAACGGGUGAGUAACGCGUGAGCAACCUGCCUUUCAGAGGGGGACAACAGUUGGAAACGACUGCUAAUACCGCAUAACACAUCGAGGGGGCAUCCCCAUGAUGUCAAAGAUUUAUCGCUGAAAGAUGGGCUCGCGUCUGAUUAGAUAGUUGGUGAGGUAACGGCUCACCAAGUCGACGAUCAGUAGCCGGACUGAGAGGUUGAACGGCCACAUUGGGACUGAGAUACGGCCCAG